This 468-nucleotide ribosomal RNA is filed under the name uncultured bacterium. RNAcentral's name for it is "partial 16S ribosomal RNA". It matches the Rfam family "Bacterial small subunit ribosomal RNA", at positions 28 to 507 of the family's 1533-position model. The record is from RNAcentral.
GACGAACGCUGGCGGCGUGCUUAACACAUGCAAGUCGAACGGAAAGGCCCUGCUUUUGUGGGGUGCUCGAGUGGCGAACGGGUGAGUAACACGUGAGUAACCUGCCCUUGACUUUGGGAUAACUUCAGGAAACUGGGGCUAAUACCGGAUAGGAGCUCCUGCUGCAUGGUGGGGGUUGGAAAGUUUCGGCGGUUGGGGAUGGACUCGCGGCUUAUCAGCUUGUUGGUGGGGUAGUGGCUUACCAAGGCUUUGACGGGUAGCCGGCCUGAGAGGGUGACCGGCCAAAUUGGGACUGAGAUACGGCCCAGACUCCUACGGGAGGCAGCAGUGGGGAAUAUUGCACAAUGGGCGGAAGCCAGAUGCAGCAACGCCGCGUGCGGGAUGACGGCCUUCGGGUUGUAAACCGCUUUCGCCUGUGACGAAGCGUGAGUGACGGUAAUGGGUAAAGAAGCACCGGCUAACUACGUG